This 3076-nucleotide long non-coding RNA is filed under the name Mus musculus (house mouse). RNAcentral describes it as "RIKEN cDNA 4930556J02 gene". The record is from RNAcentral. Lineage: Eukaryota; Metazoa; Chordata; Mammalia; Rodentia; Muridae.
UGGUGGAGUCUAUGAGUUCCAAGGUGGGUGUGAGGUGAAAGUUCAUUUGAUGUGGGGAGCCAAGGAGUGCAGGGGCCAAGGUGUUGAGUGGGCUGUUCCCUAAUCGCAAGACCAGUAUUGAGGAUGGAGAUCACAAGCCCACUACUCAACCAUCCUCAAGUGUUGUGGACUGUUUCCUCCAAAAUUGAGUCCUUUGACUCUAUCCUGCAGGGAAGAUUCUCAACCAGGAAGGCAAACAACUUAAAAUAGCUCCAGGAAGUCUUUCAAACUGACCAGUUUACUGGACCUCCUCUAAGCAAUAAAAGCAGCAAAGGAGAUUCUGAGACAAGACCAGAUGCUUGGAAGAAGCAAAAGCCAGCCCAGCUGCCUGGAAAGGUUUAGAUCAACUGAGUCAUCGGGAAAGAAUAUGAUCUAACGUGUUUAGGUGCCUCCGACUGUGCAGUGUGCUCAUUUCCGCUCCUACCUUGGGAGAAGAACACUGCUGUCAGCCUUCUUGGGUCGCAUGCCUUGUAAGCAAGACACAGUGAGGUUCUGAGCCUACUUUUAUGUGAGGCAGAAGGAACAGUGAGUUCGUGUCUUGGCUGACAUCUGCCUUUGUUGCCUACCCGCCCAUCUAUGACCCUCCUAGAAAGACUAGAAGAAUUCAAAUUAAGAGAAAUUCUUGAAGAAAAAUUUCUGUUGUUAUAGAACGUUUGAAUAGAUAUAUCUGGGCAAGCAUCACUGAUGGAGAUCCUGGGACCAGACCAUUCUCUGCUGUGCUUCCUGGUUGCCAGGAAAUGAAGCUUGUCUCAUCACACACUCUCUGCCUCACUGCCGCUCAGCAGCCAUGGACUAAAACUGAACUAAAUCAAACCUUUCUGACUUUUCAGUGUUUCUCUCGGGUGUUUUAUCAUACUAAUGAAACAUUUCCAACCACUAGAGGAGACAUGCGGGCCUGCCACCACCUGGGAACACUGCUGUUACUGCCCUGUACUGAGUUCAGUGCAUUUAACUGCCAAAUGGAAGGAGCAGUCUACCGAAAAUAUAAAAUGCUAUUGGAUCCGGCCUUCACGGAACACUCUAGAAUGAUCUGAAACAAUGGAAUAAGACCUCAUAGUUCUAAGUGAAGUCAUAAUGUUCUGCUAUCAUGUGAGCGAUGUGAGCAGAGUUAUGGGUGACCAUUCCUGGGACUGUGCAGAUGGGCUGAAAGCCUGCCCAAGCACCUUUCCUCCCACCCUUUCUCUGCUUCCCACCUUCUGUGUAUGUCGGGAUGUGAUACUUUUUGCACAGUGGCGUAGGAUGAACACACAGCAUUAUGCUACACUGACAGAAACCCGAUGUCUGCGGCUGGAACUUCAAGAGGAAAGAUGAAAUAAACAUCUGUUGAGUCUGCCACAAGGACCUUGUCAUAUGUGGUGAAGGGAGUGUAGGUGACUGAGUGGUGGAAUCAGGCUUCAUCCAUUUGUCAAGAGGAAAAGGGAAGAAGGCAUAGUCAAGAGGGACUGGAGAUUCUGCUCUACUGCUGGAAGUGUUGCAGCUCUGAGGGGAAAGGCUUCCCCUCGGGGGCAUUACAGCUCUGCUCCAGCCGCUGCAGAGGAAGGUUUCCCUAAGGCGAGUGUAACAGUUCUGUUCAGGUAGGGAAGAGGUACCUGGCAGUCCGGAGCCAAGGAAUACCACAAAGUCACACCACACAACAAACCUCACAAAAGAGAUUUACUGGGAGGGAAAGCCCCAGAAGGGUGACUGCUUCUGCUCCAAUGAGAAGCAGCAGGGAACUGAGCAGAAGAUAGGGUUUGUACAGGAGUUCUUGGGGGUGGCCUAGGAUUGGAGGGAUUAUGUGGCCUGACUUUGAAGCUCAGGAAUUGGUAGGUUAUCCUGUUCAGGGAUUGGUGGAUUUUCCUGUUCAGGGAUUGGUGGGUUUUCCUGUUCAGGGAUUGGUGGGGUUUCCUAUUCAGGGAUUGGUGGGGUUCUAUGGCAAGCGCAGGGGUUGAUAGGUUUUCCUGCUCAGGGAUUGGUGCGUUUUCUUUGCCCUUUUAUCCUACAAGAGCCAUCAAGAACUACUGCCAUUUUGACUCCAGGGCAGACUUGACUAGGUCAGUCUUCUCCAGCUGCCUCCGGUGCAGCUGAGUUACACACAUUGCAAACGCUAAGGCUGCCUCUGACCCUCCCCAAUGGCGCACGGCCACUGCACAUAGAAGAUUCUGACCAUAGUUACUAAAUGGAGACCCCCUAAGGACGUUUCACUGUGCCGUGUUGGCAGUUGAGGAUCAUUCUGAGUAGUCUCUGAAAUCAUGUCAGUUGAUCGGCCAUCUUAUCUUUCAAGAUGCGAUCAAACUGCCAGGAGCUUCCGUUAUUCUUGUCAGUGAUUCUGUGAUGGCUCCAGAAGGCUCCCUGUGCUCGCAUGCUGGUAUUUUACACACACACACACACACACACACACACACACACACACACACUGAAAGGAGAUGCCUCCAAGAUCAAAAACUAGGAAGACACUUUAGAGUUUGAAUUUGUACCACCCAGCUUAUGGCAAACCUCCUCUCCCAAAGAUCAGUUUAUUGGAAGAAACAAUCUAGAAAAGAUUUCAACGAUACAGAUGUGGAAAUAUAUUAUUUAAAGCUUAUGGUUCCUUAUCUGCCUUCGGACCAUCCCUGACUUAAAAUACUCCACAACGCUACUGGGGGGAAUAAUUAGCUGUGAUUUUUCUGUACUUAUGGAAGGACACCACACAGAUACUGCACAGAGGUCACUACUCACUUGGGCACUUUCUGGCACUUCUAUAGGACCAAGUACUCUUGUAAUCAAGUAUGGUUUUAGAUGAGCUUUCCUAACUCGCUCUGGCUCCUGCGGUUUUAUGAGGAAUUUUUCCCCUUAGUCUUGUGAGUCUGACUUUCAUGCUGUCAAUGCUAAAGAAAGAAGACAUUCCUAACUUUCUAGUUUCUAUCAAGACCCUGUAGGAGUUACAAAUGGAUUUAUGUAAUCGCACAGCAAGGUAGGAUGAACUCUAAUGGUGUGGCAGAUCAAAAUGCUUGUAUGUAUUUGAUGGAAAUUGUAAUUCCUGGAACUUGCUGUGACACCUUGGCCAGGAUACCUGUCC